UGCCCCCUAUGUUCUGGGCUACACACGUGCUACAAUGGCCGGUACAGACGGACGCAAAGCCGCGAGGUGGAGCAAAUCCUAAAAAGCCGGUCUCAGUUCGGAUUGCAGGCUGCAAUUCGCCUGCAUGAAGUCGGAAUCGCUAGUAAUCGCAGGUCAGCAUACUGCGGUGAAUACGUUCCCGGGCCUU
RNAcentral lists this ribosomal RNA (187 nucleotides) under uncultured Bacillus sp. RNAcentral describes it as "partial 16S ribosomal RNA". It matches the Rfam family "Bacterial small subunit ribosomal RNA", at positions 1196 to 1382 of the family's 1533-position model. Lineage: Bacteria; Bacillati; Bacillota; Bacilli; Caryophanales; Bacillaceae. The record is from RNAcentral.